GUCUCUGUAGCUUAAGUAUCUUAAAGCAUUG
RNAcentral lists this transfer RNA (31 nucleotides) under Callisaurus draconoides carmenensis. Its description in RNAcentral is "partial tRNA-Thr". RNAcentral also lists the same sequence under 1 other name. The record is from RNAcentral. Lineage: Eukaryota; Metazoa; Chordata; Lepidosauria; Squamata; Phrynosomatidae.